AUUGAACGCUGGCGGCAUGCCUUACACAUGCAAGUCGAACGGCAGCACGGGUGCUUUCACCUGGUGUCGAGUGGCGAACGGGUGAGUAAUACAUCGGAACAUGUCCUGUAGUGGUGGAUAGCCCGGCGAAAGCCGGAUUAAUACCGCAUACGAUCCUCGGAUGAAAGCGGGGGACCUUCGGUCCUCGCGCUAUAGGGUUGGCCGAUGGCUGAUUCGCUAGUUGGUGGGGUAAAGGCCUACCAAGGCGACGAUCAGUAGCUGGUCUGAGAGGACGACCAGCCACACUGGGACUGAGACACGGCCCGGACGACUACGGGAGGCAGCAGUGGGGAAUUUUGGACAAUAGGCGAAAGCAUGAUCCAGCAAUGCCGCGUGUGUGAAGAAGGCCUUCGGGUUGUAAAGCACGUUUGUCCGGAAAGAAAUCCUUGAGUCUAAUACAGUCGGGGGAUGACGGUACCGGAAGAAUAAGCACCGGCUAACUACGUG
RNAcentral lists this ribosomal RNA (486 nucleotides) under uncultured bacterium. RNAcentral describes it as "partial 16S ribosomal RNA". It matches the Rfam family "Bacterial small subunit ribosomal RNA", at positions 30 to 507 of the family's 1533-position model. The record is from RNAcentral.